UUCCAGACUCCUACGGGAGGCAGCAGUGGGGAAUAUUGCACAAUGGGGGAAACCCUGAUGCAGCGACGCCGCGUGAGCGAUGAAGUAUUUCGGUAUGUAAAGCUCUAUCAGCAGGGAAGAAAAUGACGGUACCUGACUAAGAGGCCCCGGCUAACUACGUGCCAGCAGCCGCGGUAAUACGUAGGGGGCAAGCGUUAUCCGGAUUUACUGGGUGUAAAGGGAGCGUAGACGGCUGUGCAAGCCAGAUGUGAAAGCCCGGGGCUCAACCCCGGGACUGCAUUUGGAACUGUGUGGCUGGAGUGUCGGAGAGGCAGGCGGAAUUCCUAGUGUAGCGGUGAAAUGCGUAGAUAUUAGGAGGAACACCAGUGGCGAAGGAGGCCUGCUGGACGAUGACUGACGUUGAGGCUCGAAAGCGUGGGGAGCAAACAGGAUUAGAUACCCCAGUAC
This 447-nucleotide ribosomal RNA is filed under the name uncultured bacterium. RNAcentral describes it as "partial 16S ribosomal RNA". It matches the Rfam family "Bacterial small subunit ribosomal RNA", at positions 329 to 793 of the family's 1533-position model. The record is from RNAcentral.